GGUUUAACGUUUAACCUCUGAGCUUCAGCUCUUUAUAUUCCUCAUCUCUGCAACUACUUCCUCUCAAAUCCCCCAGAUAAACUACAGACAAAACUAGUCUCAGAUUAACAUGACCGCAGAAAAGCUUCCAACACUCAUAUAUUACUGUCACUGCGAGUGGAAUUUUACCAGACUAAACUAGUGGAUGUUUUCUUCACGCCAGUAGAGGGCUCUGUCCGUUCAACAUGAGCACAUCUGCUAUGAGGAAGUAGCUGUGAGGAGGAGGAGAAGAUCAGUGUGGAGCCUUCAUCAGGGUUGCCAAGUCCACUUAUUAUAAGCAACUUUGGGCUUGUUUUUUUUAAGAACUUUUUUUGAUUCUGCAUUUUUGCCUUUGAUGCAACUGUAAGAAAGUUCUUAAAUGCUAAUAUUCAUAACCACCAAUGCACACAUAUUAUAUUGGUAAAUAAUAUCUUAUUCGGAUAUCAAGUAGCUGGAGUGUACGUGUGUCUCAUGAUAAAAUCACCAUUUUAAUUCAGUGCAUUUAUGAUCAUUUGGGUCUGAAUAACAUGGGAAGUAGGAGGACUUUUCUGAAACAAUUAAAGCGAUCAAUGCUUUUGGCAGAACACAAUAGGAAACUGGAACAACAUCCCUUUCGCAUGCUUAUUUUGGGUCUGUUUUUUCAGUCCAGUUUGCUUAUUUCUGUAGCGAUACUUGGCAACACCGGUUUAAAGUCAAACUAGGAAGGAAUGUGGAGAAAUGAAAAUGUUCAUUCAUUAACCAUUGUGUGUUUUCAGGAAGCAGCAGUAUCAGGAAGUCUAAUGUGUUUUUCUGUCAUAUAUAGAUGAUAUUUAAGACACUAAUGAGCCUCUGGAGAAUGAUUAAACAUGAAAAAGACUGUCCUCAGAGGAGAGAACACACAGGAGAUCUCCUCUGACUUGUGAGGGAUUCAAAGUACAUCUGCUGAUUAUUUGCAUGAGCUGUCUGCAUUGUUUUUAGCACCCAAUUCACUAAAGAAAUUAUGCAAAUCAGUACUCCCCUUUGGAAGCAACAGAAGAUACUUGCAUGUUUCCCAGAAGACAAAUUAAGUACAAUAUUCCUUGAUCUUCAAAUUCCAAAAGUUUUCACCCCCCGUCUCUUAACGCAUCGUGUUUCCUUCUGGAGCAUCAGUGAAUGUUUGAACCUUUUUUAAUAGUUGUGUUUGAGUCCCUCAGUUGUCCUCAGUGUGAAAAGAUGGAUCUCAAAAUCAUUCAGUCACAGCUGGAAAGGGUUCAAAUACGCAUAAGAUGAUUGAAAACCGAAGAAUCUGCAGGAGCUGGAGGAUUUUUCUGAAGAACAGAGCUCAGUUUAACUGCUCAGAAUAAACAAGAGACUCAUGAACAACAUCACAAAACUAAAAAACAGUCGUAGAUCAUCAGGUAACCACACACAGUAUUAAGAAUCAAGGGUUCACAUACUUAAGAAUGGGGUUAUUUUAAUAAAUUCAGCUAUUUUUUUGUCUUGUGAACUUUAAUGUAAAAUAUCUUAUUCAGGACAGUACUAAAUUAAAAAAAAAAACAUGCA
Molecule: long non-coding RNA, 1539 nt
Organism: Ctenopharyngodon idella (grass carp)
Lineage: Eukaryota; Metazoa; Chordata; Actinopteri; Cypriniformes; Xenocyprididae
Exons: 2
Source: RefSeq, a predicted model, not a curated record